Podarcis lilfordi (Lilford's wall lizard) is the source of this 69-nucleotide non-coding RNA. NCBI's taxonomy places the organism in Eukaryota, Metazoa, Chordata, Lepidosauria, Squamata, Lacertidae. The record is from the annotation of a GenBank genome assembly.
GUGGUAGCUCAGUGGCAGAGCAUUUGCCUUGCAUGCAGAAGGCCCCGGGUUCAAUCCCCAGCAUUUACU